Molecule: non-coding RNA, 73 nt
Organism: Bos taurus (domestic cattle)
Lineage: Eukaryota; Metazoa; Chordata; Mammalia; Artiodactyla; Bovidae
Source: Rfam
UCCCUGGUGGUCCAGAGGCUAAGACUGUAUGCUCCCAAUGCAUGGGGCCCAGGUUCAAUCCCUGGUCAGGGAA